AGCGAACGCUGGCGGCAGGCCUAACACAUGCAAGUCGAACGGACCCUUCGGGGUUAGUGGCGGACGGGUGAGUAACACGUGGGAACGUGCCUUUAGGUUCGGAAUAGCUCCUGGAAACGGGUGGUAAUGCCGAAUGUGCCCUUCGGGGGAACGAUUUAUCGCCUUUAGAGCGGCCCGCGUCUGUAUAGCUAGUUGGUGAGGUAAAGGCUCACCAAGGCGACGAUCAGUAGCGGGUCUGAGAGGAUGAGCAGCCACAUUGGGACUGAGACACGGCCAAAACUCCUACGGGAGGAAGCAGUGGGGAAUCGUGCGCAAUGGGCGAAAGCCUGACGCAGCCAUGCCGCGUGAAUGAUGAAGGUCUUAGGAUUGUAAAAUUCUUUCACCGGGGACGAUAAUGACGGUACCCGGAGAAGAAGCCCCGACUAACUUCGUGCCAGCCGCCCCUGUAA
RNAcentral lists this ribosomal RNA (449 nucleotides) under uncultured bacterium. RNAcentral describes it as "partial 16S ribosomal RNA". It matches the Rfam family "Bacterial small subunit ribosomal RNA", at positions 29 to 523 of the family's 1533-position model. The record is from RNAcentral.